This 45-nucleotide non-coding RNA is filed under the name Echinostoma caproni. Lineage: Eukaryota; Metazoa; Platyhelminthes; Trematoda; Plagiorchiida; Echinostomatidae. The record is from RNAcentral.
GCACUGCUAACCAGUCUCAAACAGGACGAAACAGCUGUCCAGUGU